This is a small nuclear RNA of Medicago truncatula (barrel medic), 196 nucleotides long. It matches the Rfam family "U2 spliceosomal RNA". Rfam says of the family: U2 is a small nuclear RNA (snRNA) component of the spliceosome (involved in pre-mRNA splicing). Complementary binding between U2 snRNA (in an area lying towards the 5' end but 3' to hairpin I) and the branchpoint sequence (BPS) of the intron results the bulging out of an unpaired adenosine, on the BPS, which initiates a nucleophilic attack at the intronic 5' splice site, thus starting the first of two transesterification reactions that mediate splicing. NCBI's taxonomy places the organism in Eukaryota, Viridiplantae, Streptophyta, Magnoliopsida, Fabales, Fabaceae. The record is from Rfam.
AUACAUUUCUCGGCCUUUUGGCUAAGAUCAAGUGUAGUAUCUGUUCUUAUCAGUUUAAUAUCUGAUAUGUGGGCCAAUGGUCCACACGAUAUUAAAUUUGUUUUUUUAGGAUGAGAGUCCACCAAAAUAGCUUGCUAUUAGGUCUCUCAAGUGUCAUCUUUACGUUGCACUAUUGCAUUGGUCUGGCGCGCCCCAC